RNAcentral lists this transfer RNA (78 nucleotides) under Cervus elaphus hippelaphus. Its description in RNAcentral is "tRNA-Glu". Lineage: Eukaryota; Metazoa; Chordata; Mammalia; Artiodactyla; Cervidae. The record is from RNAcentral.
UCCCUCCUGACCUGGUGGUUAGGAUUCUGCAUUUUCAGUGCUGCGGCCCAGGCCCCAUCCCUGGUUGAACACAGGGAA